Molecule: long non-coding RNA, 4199 nt
Filed under: Sus scrofa (pig)
Lineage: Eukaryota; Metazoa; Chordata; Mammalia; Artiodactyla; Suidae
Description: lncRNA (ENSSSCG00040013862.1)
Source: RNAcentral
UUUUUUUUUUUCAUAUUUUCCAAGGGUUUUUCCAAUGGGUUACAUCUGAUAAUUCAGGAAAGCACACCAAAUAAACACUGUCUUUAAAAGAAAAAGAGAAGUCACUAUUGCGCCCUUCUCACCCCCCAAAAUCUCCGUAGGCCUAGGUUUGAAAUUCAAUUCGCUGGGAACACAGGUGUGCUCGUCAGACAUGCUUUAGCCUCACUAGUUGCCUUGUUAAACUUACCCCUGACUGUAGGUCUCGGGCUCUCCCUGCCCCCUGCCAAGCAGGGCAGGAAGUGUUUGAUCCACGCCUAUUACCAUGCCAGUGUUGGCUACCACGUGGAGAUGAGUGCCAAAAUCUCCCCCAGGGUAGAAGGAGGCAGAGGAACAUCCAUUCUCACCUAUGUGUUUUAUAUUCCCUUUCAAAUCCAAUUCAGUUAAUGUGGUUAUUUGGAUCCCCCGCCCACAGACAGCUGAGCUGGGGAUUAAUGGCUCUCCCCUCUUGUGAUGGCCUUACAAGGUCACACACUACUUUAACGGCUGUUCUGGCUCUGCUCUCACUAAAAUGUUGACUUGGGCCUGAGAGUUGCAUCUUCAGCAUGGCGAGUGUGGUCAUCCACAGCCUCAUCGUCAAGACGCUAUUAAGAUGGAACUCAUGUUUCUCUUUUUUCUUAUGUAUUUAUUUAUUUUUGCUUUUUCGGGCCGCACUCUUGACAUAGGGAGGCUCCCAGGCUAGAGGGUGAAUCGGAGCUACAGCUGCCGGCCUACACCACAGCCACAGCAACACAGGAUCUAAGCUGCGUCUAGGACCUACACCACAGCUCACGGCAACACGGGAUCCUUAACCCACUGAGCAAGGCCCGGGAUCGAACCCGCAACCUUGUGGUUACUAGUCAGAUUUGUUUCCAUGGCAUCACAGCAGAACUCCAGAACCCAUGUUUCAUUAGCCAACACUGUCCUUUCUGUUGUCUUUAUUUAAAAGCAGUCAUAGCUACAAAAGAGCUAAAUAGGAGCUCAUUGAAUCACCUCUUCAUGGUGAUGGGGGGUGUAGGGAAUUAAAUGCUAAUCCCAUUUUUCCCUUUAUUUUAGGGUAUACUAAUGAGGGGAAAAAAAAACAAAAACAAAAACUCCAUCACGGGGGUCCCUAGGUUUGACUGAAACCAAUUUCACACUGGAAAUCAGGCUCUAAGGUUAAAGCAGCUAGAUCUUUUCCAUUUUCACUGCAGCCCUGUUUCUAACCUUGACCCCAAAUUGAGGCAGAUUCCAGGCAUAACUGGCAUACUUGGGUUUGUCUGGGUGAAUUAAAUGGUCAAAUAGUAUUAGCCAAAUUCCUACACAUGUGCAGCCCCAUACCUGAUGUGCCAAAUAGCUAAGGAAAAAGAGUUGGAUCUGCUUACAGAGUCUACAACCUAAUUGUGGAGAGGGUGGUUUGAUAGGAUAUGAAGAAUGGGAUGGUCUAGGAAGCAGAAUUAGGGGAUGUGGGCUGGAGAUGAUGCAGUGCUCAGCAAACAUUUUCUUAAAGAGCCAGAGAGCAAAUAUUUUAAGGCCACGAGGUAAAAAGUAGGCUAUUAUGGAAGUACUUAUAAAACCAUUUAAAAUAUAAGGCAAAUGUAGAAAUCAUACUCCCUUAGGGCCAUUAAAAAAACAAACAAACAAACAAAAAAAACAGGCUGGUCUUGGACCUUGGGCCUCAGUUUGUGGACCCCUGGCUAGGACAGCAGGCAGAGCCGAUAGCUAAGAGCAAAGGAGCCUCAGUUCCAGUUCUUUCCAUGUGAUUUUAAUGUAAGUCAUUUUUUUCUUCUAUAAAAAGGAGGAAAUAGGAGGUAUCUUUGAUUAUCACACUGUUUUCAAAGAUCCAAUGAGGACAUAAAUGUGAGGAAUUAUAUCAAUUAAAACUUUCUAACCAAUGCAAAGGAUAGUCAUGGCGAACCCUGCUCUUGGGAAACUUAUGACCAAGAUCCAUCAAGAAAAAUCUGGCAUUGGUCCUCUCGAUGAAGAAUGGCCACCAGUGAUUACAACGUAUGCUCCAUAUUCUGACCUACAGAAUGAGAGGAGGGUACACUCCAUAAUGAGGACCGUGGGGAAACAGCACUGCAAUCCCCACCCACCACAAUCACCCCCACUGAGGGACAGAGAUGGGCAAAAUGUGAGCAAAUUGGCUUUAAGCCUUAAGAGAAUUUUUCGUCCAUGAAUCCUACCUAUAGUCCCUCUAGUUUCCUGUCAUUUUGUUCUUGAAGCUGGCUCCAUGUCCCAACUGAAUCUAAAAGAGAAGUCUUCACCAAGCUCCCCCAGCUUUCCGGGGUGCACAGCAAAGUUUAAAUUGUGCUUGGCCUUAUAAUAUUUGUACACAGUAGGCAGUAACUCCUUGUGUGUAGAAUUUAAUUCAGCUGACUCUCUCUGCUCUGAAGGAGCAUUACAAAGAUGGGCAGGUGACACCACGAAUUCAGUUUCAGAAAUUACUGAAAGGAGGAAAACAGUGAUGCUGCUUUUCAUUUUGAUGACACUGAAAACAUUUCUCCCACGCUAAAUAUUUGUUAAUGUUAACAGUCCAAAGCAGGUGGCAACAUUUUUUUUUUCCUAAAUGUCUUCUUAGGGCCACACUGUCAACAUAUGGGAAAUCCCAGGUUAGGGGUGGAAUCAGAGCUGCAGCCAUUGACUUAUGCCACAGCCACAGUAAUGUGGGAUCUGAGUUGCCUCUGUGACCUACACCACAGCCCCUGGCAACGCUGGAGGCUACAGCUCCACCUGGACCCCUAGACUGAGAACCUUCAUAUACUGUGGGUAUGGCCCUAAAAAGACAAANUGUGUGUUUGUCAGCUUUGGGUCCAUAAACAGGGUUCUUUCUUUAUGGCUUUGGGUUCCAGAUUUAAUAAGCAUUCAAAGAUAUUUUGUCAACAAAAUGAAACAACUUUAAGUGUACAAAACAGAGAGUUCAGCGAUGAAAACUACCGACUGAUUAUACAUAUAACUGGAUUUAUUGUUAGUAUUUUUCUUAUCCCUUUGGUUCCAUCUUCCAUUUAUUUUCUCCUUAGCAUUUGCAGAGGCCCCAAUUUCAUAAAUUGCAGCAAUAACCACCUUACUUCCUAUUACCCUUAAACUUCAUAUCAACCUGAGGUUUCUCUCCUCUAAAUUGGCACAGACACCUCUGUGUUUCCAGGCUGGAUGUGCACAAGCUGCAAUGUUCAUUCUGGUAGAAACACAGACAUUUGGAAUGGCUCCUGUAAAAAUCUCUGACUUCAAGCCUUCUCAGAAGUGAGAAGACAGGUUAGGACACAUGACUGGCCCAUCGUCAUCAUCCCGCCAUCAUUUGAUUUCUGCAUCAUACAACCAAUUGAUUCCUCAUAACCACCUACAGAAUGUGCGUGUACCGCUUGCAGUGUUUAAUCCCCGCCUGUGGAAAACACAUGAUCAAGAUAAAUUCGAAUAUGUGACACUUCCUCCAUCUCAAAAAAUAAAAGGAUCAAUUUUAAGCCCUUCAUUACAAUCCCUAGGAGGAGCACAAGGGAAAGUGAAUGUGCUGCCAACAAUGCAAAGGAGUUUUCCUUUCGAAUAUCCUGAUUUAAAGAGAGACUAUAAGCAGCCUCAACUGGAAGCACCCACAUGAACAGUUUUAAAUGAAAACUUUAAAAAAAACAAAAACAAAAAAAGAUUCAGAUUGUGGAUUUUACCCUCAGCCAUUGGAAGGCUGCGUAACAGGAAAAUCAUAGGUAGACUGAUAGGAGAGGAAGGGAGGGAGGAAGGAAAAGAGAAAAAGACGAAAGGAAAAGGCGGAAGGAAGGAGACGGGAGAGGAGAGGAAUCUUAUAAAGACAUUGCUGCCUACUUCGGGAGUAUCAGAAAGAUAGGGGUACGUAACUUGUUGAAGAAAACCUUCUAGAGAUGCCAGAGAAGAGUGGUACAUCCCCAAACCAGAUCAAGCUAAACCCUGAUUUCAUUCUAGUCCACUGUGUAGAAAGAAGAGAUUCCUUAAAAUCCUUAGGUUUUGAAAACCCCAGACUCAUGACUUCAACUGAUCAAUCUGAAAUGUAUACAUAUGAGUGGAAAAUGUGUAAAUAUGUAUAGUGGUGGCGGUGGGAUCAUCGGGCAGUGGGCUCCUGGCUGUGGACACUCUGGAUCUGAGCACUGCUUUCCAGGGAACCGUGUCCCUCAUUCCUCACCACUGCAGCUGGACCUGAAAAGACCCCACCCCAUCUCGUGAGAGAAAACAAAAGCAGGAUU